UGGAAAGUGAAACAUAUUGUAGACAACUACUAUGGUACUCCAAAGCCUCCAGCAGAGCCUGCCCCAUUGUUGCUAAAUGUGACUGACCAGAUUCUCCCAGGUGCAACACCCAGCGCUGAAGGCAAACGCAAAAGAAAUAAGUCAGUGAGCAAUAUGGAAAAAACAGGAAUAGAGCCGCCAGAGGAAGAGGAGGAGGAAAGGCCUGUGGUCAAUGGGAAUGGCAUGGCAAUCA
Molecule: long non-coding RNA, 232 nt
Organism: Sphaerodactylus townsendi
Lineage: Eukaryota; Metazoa; Chordata; Lepidosauria; Squamata; Sphaerodactylidae
Exons: 3
Source: RefSeq, a predicted model, not a curated record